AGAGUUUGAUCAUGGCUCAGGAUGAACGCUGGCGGCGUGCUUAACACAUGCAAGUCGAACGAGGAUUUAACGGAAUGCGAUUCGUCAAAUGAAAUUAAAUCCGAGUGGCGGACGGGUGAGUAACGCGUGGAUAACCUGCCUCACACAGGGGGACAACAGCCGGAAACGGCUGCUAAUACCGCAUAACACAAGCAAUUCGCAUGAAUAGCUUGUCAAAGAUUUUAUCGGUGUGAGAUGGAUCCGCGUCUGAUUAGCCAGUUGGCGGGGUAACGGCCCACCAAAGCGACGAUCAGUAGCCGACCUGAGAGGGUGACCGGCCACAUUGGGACUGAGACACGGCCCAAACUCCUACGGGAGGCAGCAGUGGGGAAUAUUGCACAAUGGGCGAAAGCCUGAUGCAGCGACGCCGCGUGAAGGAUGAAGUAUUUCGGUAUGUAAACUUCUAUCAGCAGGGAAGAAAAUGA
RNAcentral lists this ribosomal RNA (464 nucleotides) under uncultured bacterium. Its description in RNAcentral is "bacterial SSU rRNA". It matches the Rfam family "Bacterial small subunit ribosomal RNA", at positions 8 to 454 of the family's 1533-position model. The record is from RNAcentral.